GCAUCAGGUAACAUCAAAUCGUACCCCAAACCGACACAGGUGGUCAGGUAGAGAAUACCAAGGCGCUUGAGAGAACUCGGGUGAAGGAACUAGGCAAAAUGGUGCCGUAACUUCGGGAGAAGGCACGCUGGUGUGUAGGUGAAGUCCCUGCGGAUGGAGCUGAGACCAGUCGAAGAUACCAGCUGGCUGCAACUGUUUAUUAAAAACACAGCACUGUGCAAACACGAAAGUGGACGUAUACGGUGUGACGCCUGCCCGGUGCCGGAAGGUUAAUUGAUGGGGUUAUCCGUAAGGAGAA
Molecule: ribosomal RNA, 298 nt
Filed under: Klebsiella quasipneumoniae subsp. similipneumoniae
Lineage: Bacteria; Pseudomonadati; Pseudomonadota; Gammaproteobacteria; Enterobacterales; Enterobacteriaceae
Description: partial 23S ribosomal RNA
Rfam family: Bacterial large subunit ribosomal RNA
Source: RNAcentral